GGGUUAGUAGUUUGGUCGUGCCAAUGGUAUGUACUGGGCUCACUGAUUCCUCCUUCCUGAUGAAUUGUAAUGCCAUUAAUUUGGUGUUGCAGGGAAACAGGACUGUUACUUUGAAAAAUUAGAGUGUUUAAAGCAAGCUAACGCUUGAAUACAUUAGCAUGGAAUAAUGAAAUAGGACGUUCGAUCCUAUUUUGUUGGUUUCUAGGAUUGACGUAAUGAUUA
This 222-nucleotide ribosomal RNA is filed under the name uncultured Glomeromycotina. Its description in RNAcentral is "partial 18S ribosomal RNA". It matches the Rfam family "Eukaryotic small subunit ribosomal RNA", at positions 644 to 871 of the family's 1831-position model. The record is from RNAcentral. Lineage: Eukaryota; Fungi; Glomeromycota.